GCCAGGCGUGGUGGCACAUGCCUGUAAUCCCAACGGCUUGGGAGGCUGAGGCAGGAAGAUCACAAGUUCAAAGCCAGCCUCAGCAAUGGUAAGGCACUUAGCAACUCAGUGAGACCCUGUCUCUA
Molecule: small RNA, 125 nt
Filed under: Marmota monax (woodchuck)
Lineage: Eukaryota; Metazoa; Chordata; Mammalia; Rodentia; Sciuridae
Source: RNAcentral